CCCGCUGAACUUAAGCAUAUCAAUAAGCGGAGGAAAAGAAACUAACAAGGAUUCCCCUAGUAACUGCGAGUGAAGCGGGAAAAGCUCAAAUUUAAAAUCUGGCGGUCCUUGUGGCCGUCCGAGUUGUAAUUUAGAGAAGUGUUGUCCGCGCUGGACCGUGUACAAGUCUCCUGGAAUGGAGCGUCAUAGAGGGUGAGAAUCCCGUCUUUGACACGGACUGCCAGGGCAUUGUGAUACGCUCUCAAAGAGUCGAGUUGUUUGGGAAUGCAGCUCANAAUGGGUGGUAAAUUCCAUCUAAAGCUAAAUAUUGNGGAGAGACCGAUAGCGAACAAGUACCGUGAGGGAAAGAUGAAAAGAAACUUGGGAAGAGAGUCAAACAGUACGUGAAAUUGCUGAAAGGGAAAACGCUUGAAGUCAGUCGCGUCGCUCAGGACUCAGCCUUGCUUUUGCUUGGUGUACUUCCUGUUCGAUGGGUCAGCAUCAAAUUUUGGUCGGUGGAUAAAGGCUCAGAGAAUGUGGCAUCUUCGGGUGUGUUAUAGCUCUGGGUUGUAUACAUCGGCUGGGAUUGAGGAACUCAGCACGCCGCAAGGCCGGGUACUUGUACCACGUACGUGCUUAGGAUGCUGGCAUAAUGGCUUUAAUCGACCCGUCUUGAAACACGG
RNAcentral lists this ribosomal RNA (662 nucleotides) under uncultured fungus. RNAcentral's name for it is "eukaryotic LSU rRNA". It matches the Rfam family "Eukaryotic large subunit ribosomal RNA", at positions 24 to 664 of the family's 3401-position model. The record is from RNAcentral. Lineage: Eukaryota; Fungi.